GAUGAACGCUGGCGGCGCGCCUAACACAUGCAAGUCGAACGAUUAAAGCACCUUCGGGUGUGUAUAAAGUGGCGAACGGCUGAGUAACACGUGGGCAACCUGCCCCUUUCAUUGGGAUAGCCACGGGAAACCGUGGAUAAUACCGAAUACUUCGAGACUUCCGCAUGGAAGACUCGAGAAAGCUCCGGCGGGGGGGGUUGGGCCCGCGGCCUGUUAGCUUGUUGGUGGGGUAACGGCCUACCAAGGCAAUGAUGGGUAGCUGGGUUGAGAGACCGACCAGCCAGAUUGGGACUGAGACACGGCCCAGACUCCUACGGGAGGCAGCAGUGGGGAAUCUUGCACAAUGGGCGAAAGCCUGAUGCAGCGACGCCGCGUGCGGGAUGAAGGCCUUCGGGUUGUAAACCGCUUUCAGCAGGGACGAGGAGAAAGUGACGGUACCUGAAGAAGAAGCCCCGGCUAACUACGUG
Molecule: ribosomal RNA, 467 nt
Filed under: uncultured bacterium
Lineage: Bacteria
Description: partial 16S ribosomal RNA
Rfam family: Bacterial small subunit ribosomal RNA
Source: RNAcentral